RNAcentral lists this ribosomal RNA (146 nucleotides) under uncultured Psychrobacter sp. Its description in RNAcentral is "partial 16S ribosomal RNA". It matches the Rfam family "Bacterial small subunit ribosomal RNA", at positions 385 to 523 of the family's 1533-position model. The record is from RNAcentral. Lineage: Bacteria; Pseudomonadati; Pseudomonadota; Gammaproteobacteria; Moraxellales; Moraxellaceae.
GAUCCAGCCAUGCCGCGUGUGUGAAGAAGGCCUUUUGGUUGUAAAGCACUUUAAGCAGUGAAGAAGACUCCGUGGUUAAUACCCAUGGACGAUGACAUUAGCUGCAGAAUAAGCACCGGCUAACUCUGUGCCAGCAGCCGCGGUAA